GACGUAGGAGGCGAGCGUUGUCCGGAUUCAUUGGGCGUAAAGAGCACGCAGGCGGUUUGGCAAGUCGGAUGUGAAAACCCGAAGCUCAACUUCGGGCCUGCAUCCGAAACUGCCCGACUAGAGGUAGGUGGGGGAGAUCGGAAUUCCUGGUGUAGCGGUGAAAUGCGCAGAUAUCAGGAGGAACACCGGUGGCGAAGGCGGAUCUCUGGGCCUUACCUGACGCUCAGGUGCGAAAGCUAGGGGAGCGAACAGG
This 253-nucleotide ribosomal RNA is filed under the name uncultured bacterium. RNAcentral describes it as "partial 16S ribosomal RNA". It matches the Rfam family "Bacterial small subunit ribosomal RNA", at positions 524 to 776 of the family's 1533-position model. The record is from RNAcentral.